Molecule: long non-coding RNA, 1247 nt
Organism: Girardinichthys multiradiatus
Lineage: Eukaryota; Metazoa; Chordata; Actinopteri; Cyprinodontiformes; Goodeidae
Exons: 7
Source: RefSeq, a predicted model, not a curated record
ACAGCGUCUCUACUGGGGACUUCUCUGGGACAGUUUGCUUCUGCAGGCCUCAAAGAGAAACCAAUGUUGAGGGAAACAAAAUAAAAGCUUUGGCUCACAUCAUAUCACUGAGAUGUACCCACCUUUCCAAUAAGGGGUCCCAAGAUAAUAUCGUCAUGUUCCAGCACCCAUUUAUCCUGCAAGGGUUAGAAACCAAAGGCAGACACAGAGAGCGAAUUACAAAGAGGAUCGCUGAUUACUGAGAAAGAACUUCAACAGAAAAGGGUAGCCUCAGACUUUUUGGUGACGGGUAGGCCUGACGACUGCAGAUGAUGGAUAAGCUUCGGGAUGCUGUGGAAGCCUUCUCCAUCCAGACGGUACAAAUUCUAUUGACACACAUGGAAAAGGGAUCACAGAGAAAGUCUCCAUCAUUCUUGAGUAACUGCUGGACUUCCAGCCUGGGAAUGGCUCCGUGGUACCAGUCUUGCUGACACAGGGGACGGUCUGUUUCCUGCACGCUGGAGAGGACUGGGUGAACCUAGAGGCAGUGGGAAGAAAUGGGAUUUUUAUUAGAGUUGGCAGAAAUCUUAGGGAAGUAAAACAAAAACAGAGGAUAUACUUUUUUUUUUUUUUUUUUACAGGGAUCUGGUAGAGAUUAGUUAAAGACACUUCAAUGAAGAGUCUACAAAACGUGAAAGUUGAAGCACUCCAAAGUGCAUACCUGCCGGGCACCAGAGUGAUGUAAAUCAGAGAAGGAGCAGCUCACUCAGAAACUGCAUUUCAUAUUUAAGACAAUUCAAGCUAAAUGUCUCAAAUCCACCUAAUUACUGAAGAUGGUGCUGGAGCAGUGAUCAUGUCAGCAGCUCUGCUAAGAUUUCAUCAGCUGCCGCAAAGGGCUUUGUGUAGAACUUUAUUAAUGACUGGAUCAAACCUCCAACACCUCUACACAGCCUUGUCAACCAAGAAAAAUGAGGGAACUGAGAUCAAUAACUCUAUGCAUAUUACUGAAUUAUUAUUACUAAUAAGGUGGCUGCUGCCUCCUGAGACCAGGCUGCCUUAAAGCAGUCGCUCAGCCAACAGCACACUGAACUUUUCUGUUGGGAAGGACUGCACACAGGGGCAAAGUGGAGCUCCAUCUCCAGCUGGUCCACAGACAUCUGCUGAGAGCUCAAAGACUUUGCCAGGUCCAGCAGCUCCUCUUCGAUUGCAGUCAGCCUAAAGCAUAGAAGCACCAUAAGGAAAUAGGGGAAGUAAAGCAGGUGUUUAAA